RNAcentral lists this microRNA precursor (185 nucleotides) under Oryza barthii. RNAcentral describes it as "MIR812 microRNA precursor family". It matches the Rfam family "MIR812 microRNA precursor family". Lineage: Eukaryota; Viridiplantae; Streptophyta; Magnoliopsida; Poales; Poaceae. The record is from Rfam by way of RNAcentral.
AAAAAGACAAACCCUGAAUUUUCAUGUCCAACGUUUAACUAUCCGUCUUAUAUAAAUUUUUUUAUAAUUAGUAUUUUAAUUGUUGUUAGAUGAUAAAACAUGAUUAAUACUUUAUGCGUGACUUGUCUUUUUAAUUUUUUCAAAUAAGACGAACGGUCAAACGUUGGACACGAAAACCAAGGGUU